UACGGAGGGGGCGAGCGUUGUUCGGAUUUACUGGGUGUAAAGGGCGUGUAGGUGGCCUGUUAAGUUGGAUGUGAAAUCCCUCAGCUUACCUGAGGAACUGCAUUCAAUACUGGCAGGCUAGAGUGUAGGAGAGGAAAGUGGAAUUCCUGGUGUAGCGGUGAAAUGCGUAGAUAUCAGGAGGAACACCAGUGGCGAAAGCGACUUUCUGGCCUGACACUGACACUAAGGCGCGAAAGCUAGGGGAGCGAACGGG
This 253-nucleotide ribosomal RNA is filed under the name uncultured bacterium. RNAcentral describes it as "partial 16S ribosomal RNA". It matches the Rfam family "Bacterial small subunit ribosomal RNA", at positions 524 to 776 of the family's 1533-position model. The record is from RNAcentral.